Molecule: ribosomal RNA, 497 nt
Filed under: uncultured bacterium
Lineage: Bacteria
Description: partial 16S ribosomal RNA
Rfam family: Bacterial small subunit ribosomal RNA (bases 20-341)
Source: RNAcentral
GAUGAACGCUGGCGGCGUGCCUAAUACAUGCCAGUCGAGCGAACAGAUGAGGAGCUUGCUCCUCUGACGUUAGCGGCGGACGGGUGAGUAACACGUGGAUAACCUACCUAUAAGACUGGGAUAACUUCGGGAAACCGGAGCUAAUACCGGAUAAUAUAUUGAACCGCAUGGUUCAAUAGUGAAAGACGGUUUUGCUGUCACUUAUAGAUGGAUCCGCGCCGCAUUAGCUAGUUGGUAAGGUAACGGCUUACCAAGGCAACGAUGCGUAGCCGACCUGAGAGGGGGAGAGGAAAAAGUGGAAAGGAGAACAGGUACAGAGGAAGAAGGGAGGAACAAGGAGGGAAGAGGAAGAAAGGGGCGAAAGACGGAAGGAGAAAAGAAGAGGGAAGAAGAAAGGGGUGAGGAUAGAAAAACGACGUGAAGAGGGAAGAAAAAAAGGGUAAGGAAAAAGGCAAGCAGGGACGGGAGAUAAGAAGCAAGAAAAGGAAAACUAAGAG